RNAcentral lists this ribosomal RNA (385 nucleotides) under uncultured bacterium. RNAcentral describes it as "bacterial SSU rRNA". It matches the Rfam family "Bacterial small subunit ribosomal RNA", at positions 28 to 414 of the family's 1533-position model. The record is from RNAcentral.
GACGAACGCUGGCGGCAUGCUUUACACAUGCAAGUCGAACGGCAGCACGAGUGCUUGCACUUGGUGGCGAGUGGCGAACGGGUGAGUAAUACAUCGGAACGUGUCCUAAAGUGGGGGAUAACGCAUCGAAAGAUGUGCUAAUACCGCAUAAUCUCUAAGGAGAAAGUAGGGGAUCGAAAGACCUUAUGCUUUUGGAGCGGCCGAUGUCUGAUUAGCUAGUUGGUGGGGUAAUGGCCUACCAAGGCGACGAUCAGUAGCUGGUCUGAGAGGAUGGCCAGCCACACUGGGACUGAGACACGGCCCAGACUCCUACGGGAGGCAGCAGUGGGGAAUUUUGGACAAUGGGCGCAAGCCUGAUCCAGCAAUGCCGCGUGAGUGAAGAAGG